AUUGAAACACCGGUUCCCGUACGAUCACUGAAGUUAAGCAACGUCGAACCUGGUCAGUAAAAUGGGUGACCGCUUAGGAAUACCAGGUGUUGUAAG
Non-coding RNA from Acanthosepion pharaonis, 96 nucleotides. Lineage: Eukaryota; Metazoa; Mollusca; Cephalopoda; Sepiida; Sepiidae. The record is from the annotation of a GenBank genome assembly.